Long non-coding RNA from Lycium ferocissimum, 989 nucleotides. RefSeq lists it as uncharacterized. The record is from RefSeq and is a predicted model, not a curated record. NCBI's taxonomy places the organism in Eukaryota, Viridiplantae, Streptophyta, Magnoliopsida, Solanales, Solanaceae. The transcript is spliced from 4 exons.
ACUAUCUAUAAUAGAAAUGGGAGUUGGGGGGUGUACGAGCACUCCAUAAAUAAUGGUAUAAGAGGCACUGAAGGUGGUACUAAAAAUGGCACUGGGGUGGGACACGCGUACGCCGUCCUCUUCAUCCAUGUAGCAGCCUUAUUUUCUCUCACAUCUAUUUUGCCUCACAUUUCUUCCCCUCCUUUCUCUGGUUAUCACUCUUUCAGGGAAGCUUUGUUUCUUGCUCUUUUUUGCCAGCAGUAGCUUCGCUUCUAAUAAGGUAUGCAGCAGUUGUGUACGCGAAGAAAAGAAGAAGGCAGUGUGGUUGGGCAAACUUUACAUGAUCUUCGCGCAACAUCAAUUAAUGUCGCUAAGACGAUUGUUGAAGGAUAAAAUCCUUUGGUCUCACUAGCUAGACAAUAGAUUCAAGGCAAACUCUCUAAAUACUUAGAUGAGCCGGAAUUUCAAAUAAAGCAGCAAAAUUGAAAGAAAAUCAAACGAAUGGAAUGAAAAAUCGACAAAAGAAGACCUAAAAUCAAAAGGAAAAAAGUAAAAUCAGAGAUAUUGGUGACUGCUAGAUACCACCGGGACAGAAGAAUGGUACAAAAUCUCCUAGGAGAAAAAUGUCCAUUAAGGGAAGCUGAACAUUUUAAUUGGGAGAUACAAAUGAGGGCAGCAACGGACAUCAUAAAAACUUGACCUACUGUUGUGUACAUCACAAAAGACUACAACCAUGAAGUAGUGGGAAUUUUCAGCUUUCUUAUUGAGGCUUGUGCACAGCUAUCCAAUUAUCUUCAUGUUGUUUGUUAAAGAAGAGGCAAAUAUCAUUCAAGAUUAAACUUCUGCAGUAAAAGAAAAUGCCACUUUUGUACUACUGUUGCUACUAAUGCUCUUACUGCUCUUAAGUGAAUAGUGUAGCUCCGUAGGAAUGAUGAAACAACUACAUUCUGUUGUAUUUCAUCUUCUUAUGAUACUUAAAAAUGUAGCUAAAUCUUCUUUUUUGGGUUGAA